This 449-nucleotide ribosomal RNA is filed under the name uncultured bacterium. RNAcentral's name for it is "partial 16S ribosomal RNA". It matches the Rfam family "Bacterial small subunit ribosomal RNA", at positions 29 to 523 of the family's 1533-position model. The record is from RNAcentral.
AACGAACGCUGGCGGCAGGCUUAACACAUGCAAGUCGAGCGAGACCUUCGGGUCUAGCGGCGGACGGGUGAGUAACGCGUGGGAACGUGCCCUUCUCUACGGAAUAGCCCCGGGAAACUGGGAGUAAUACCGUAUACGCCCUUUGGGGGAAAGAUUUAUCGGAGAAGGAUCGGCCCGCGUUGGAUUAGGUAGUUGGUGGGGUAAUGGCCCACCAAGCCGACGAUCCAUAGCUGGUUUGAGAGGAUGAUCAGCCACACUGGGACUGAGACACGGCCCAGACCCCUACGGGAGGCAGCAGUGAGGAAUAUUGGACAAUGGGCGAAAGCCUGAUCCAGCCAUGCCGCGUGAGUGAUGAAGGCCUUCGGGUUGUAAAGCUCUUUCAGGUGCGACGAUAAUGACGGUAACACCAGAAGAAGCCCCGGCUAACUCCGUGCCAGCCGCCGCCGUAA